RNAcentral lists this ribosomal RNA (483 nucleotides) under uncultured bacterium. RNAcentral's name for it is "partial 16S ribosomal RNA". It matches the Rfam family "Bacterial small subunit ribosomal RNA", at positions 355 to 847 of the family's 1533-position model. The record is from RNAcentral.
UGGGGAAUAUUGCACAAUGGGCGCAAGCCUGAUGCAGCAACGCCGCGUGAGGGACGACGGCCUUCGGGUUGUAAACCUCUUUUAGUAGGGAAGAAGCGAAAGUGACGGUACCUGCAGAAAAACGCACCGGCUAACUACGUGCCAGCAGCCGCGGUAAUACGUAGGGUGCGAGCGUUGUCCGGAAUUAUUGGGCGUAAAGAGCUCGUAGGCGGUCUGUCGCGUCUGCUGUGAAAACCCGAGGCUCAACCUCGGGCCUGCAGUGGGUACGGGCAGACUAGAGUGCGGUAGGGGAGAAUGGAAUUCCUGGUGUAGCGGUGGAAUGCGCAGAUAUCAGGAGGAACACCGAUGGCGAAGGCAGUUCUCUGGGCCGUAACUGACGCUGAGGAGCGAAAGCGUGGGGAGCGAACAGGAUUAGAUACCCUGGUAGUCCACGCCGUAAACGUUGGGCGCUAGAUGUGGGGACCAUUCCACGGUUUCCGUGUC